UACAUUUAAGUAUAAGUCGUAUAAAAAUUUUUGGAAUUUUAGGGGAUAGUUGAAUUCUAUCAAAUGUAA
RNAcentral lists this transfer RNA (69 nucleotides) under Stylosomus rugithorax. RNAcentral describes it as "tRNA-Gln". The record is from RNAcentral. Lineage: Eukaryota; Metazoa; Arthropoda; Insecta; Coleoptera; Chrysomelidae.